GUUUUUCGCUUGAGGAUGAGCCCAUGUGGGAUUAGCUAGUUGGUGAGGUAAUGGCUCACCAAGGCUACGAUCCCUAACUGGUCUUAGAGGAUGAUCAGUCACACUGGAACUGAGACACGGUCCAGACUCCUACGGGAGGCAGCAGUAGGGAAUAUUGCACAAUGGGGGAAACCCUGAUGCAGCGACGCCGCGUGAGUGAUGAAGGCCUUCGGGUCGUAAAGCUCUGUCGUAUGGGAAUAACAAAAUG
RNAcentral lists this ribosomal RNA (247 nucleotides) under uncultured Bdellovibrio sp. RNAcentral's name for it is "partial 16S ribosomal RNA". It matches the Rfam family "Bacterial small subunit ribosomal RNA", at positions 210 to 456 of the family's 1533-position model. The record is from RNAcentral. Lineage: Bacteria; Pseudomonadati; Bdellovibrionota; Bdellovibrionia; Bdellovibrionales; Pseudobdellovibrionaceae.